GUUGAGUCCUCAUCAGAACAGAGACAGGAGAUGGGGAUGUCUGUGCCCCAGUCUUGGUAGCCUUGUACGAGCCCACAGCAUUUGAACUGAAAGUGAAGGAAACAGAACAACAGACACUUUAAAACAUGUAAUGAUUUCCAGAACUAUAAGGCCUUGAAGCCUACUCCAUGGAGACAUCUCCAAUGAAAGAGCUUUUAGUCCAGAACUAUAAGGCCUUGAAGACUACUCCAUGGAGACAUCUCCAAUGAAAGAGCUUUUAGUCCAGAACUAUAAGGCCUUGAAGCCUACUCCAUGGAGACAUCUCCAAUGAAAGAGCUUUUAGUCCAGAACUAUAAGGCCUUGAAGCCUACUCCAUGGAGACAUCUCCAAUGAAAGAGCUUUUAGUCCAGAACUAUAAGGCCUUGAAGCCUACUCCAUGGAGACAUCUCCAAUGAAAGAGCUU
Long non-coding RNA from Oncorhynchus keta (chum salmon), 442 nucleotides. RefSeq lists it as uncharacterized. NCBI's taxonomy places the organism in Eukaryota, Metazoa, Chordata, Actinopteri, Salmoniformes, Salmonidae. The record is from RefSeq and is a predicted model, not a curated record. The transcript has 3 exons.